This is a long non-coding RNA of Pseudoliparis swirei, 1945 nucleotides long. RefSeq lists it as uncharacterized. The transcript is spliced from 2 exons. NCBI's taxonomy places the organism in Eukaryota, Metazoa, Chordata, Actinopteri, Perciformes, Liparidae. The record is from RefSeq and is a predicted model, not a curated record.
AGUACAUUAUAUUAUUAUAAUAUAUACAAAUACAAUUAUAAAAUAAUAUCUUUUUUUAAACAUUAAGGUUACUUGACUGCUAACACGUUGAGUAAUAAUAAUUUCACAUAAUGUAUUCAGACGUAAACAUUCUUGUUCGUGUUGUUGUAUUUGCGCAGCUUUUACUUUGAAGCCCACUUCCUGUGUCUCGUGGUCUUGUCGUGGUGGAGUGCGCGCGCGCUGACAGCUGGUGGGGGUGGGGGCGUGGCCUCCGCCAGGAAGCACUGCAGCAGAGCUUCAGCCGAAAACCAGGGAAAGACAGAGGAGAGACGGAAGCUCGAGAGGAACAGAAGAGGCGAAACUCAGCCUCGGCAGGAAACAUAUUUUUUAAAUAAGAUAAGAGAAAAUAAGAUAAUCCUUUAUUAGUCCCACGGUCGGGACAUUUCAGGAUCACAGCAGCGGUGCACGUUAGAGCAUUAAUAAAAAUAAAAAUAAUUAAAUUAUUAUUAUUAAAUAUAAUUAAAUUAAAUAAAAAUAAUGCUACUAUAUAAAAACUAAUUCAAAUUAAAUUCACACACACUCAACGGGACUGUUGAAAAACAAACAAAGCGCAACACAAUAUAUUAAAAACAAGAAAUAAUAAAGUGCACUUUGAACUCCGUUUCACUAGCUUACAUUUUCUUUAUGAAUAAAGAUGAAUUAUUAUAUGGCAACAAAGGUACACGCGUUCUGAUUGGCUAAUGGGCCACUUCGUGGCACAACAUGAGACCAACAGCCAACUAUCCAGCGUCAGUAUUACAGCUAAACAAACGGUAAAUAACAAUGUUCGACAACACGUGGUGCUUGUUGUCAAAUCUAAGAGCCAAUCAGCUCUCUGAUGUGGCCACGGCCAGCCGUUGGUUUCCCAGCAUGCAACGGGGCUCAUCGCUGACAGCAGCGCGAGCUGGAAGUGGACGGACCCGAGUGGAGUCAACGGUUUCCCGUGAGUUCGUGAACAUGUGAAACGUCGAAGUCCGAGGAGGAACGUUGCAGUUUAAUAGAGGAGCGCGAGCGCCAACGGAAACGACUGGACGCCAUUUUCUACCCAGAAGUUACAGCGAGCAGGAGAAAUGCUGAGGCCGUUGGUGACGCAGCACGUGGACGAGGUCGUCGACGAGGCUUUUGAGCAGUUGGACUCGUUGACAGCAGCGUAUGAGGACAUCGUUUCUCAAUUAGGAGAACAUGAGUGACACACAUCAGGUCGGUGCCGCUUCACGAUUGUUCCCGGGCUUCAUCUCGUUUCACGGCUUCAAGUCACAUUUGGUCCGUUUCCAGCUCGUCAGCUGCAGUGAGCGAGACUUGUGGUGGAUCUGAUUGGUUUCCAGCUCUGAUCUCAUCAGGGAGGAACUUUAAACACCUCACGGUCCUCGAGUCAAACUGGUGACGGGAUCUGCACCUGGAGAUCUCUUGGGACGGUCUUCAGAACGGCCAGAACAACUUCUGGAGGAGCAAACCGGCCGUAAAGUGAUCCAACUGCCGUAAAGUGAAAUAACUGCCAUAAAGGGUUUGCAUUCACUACCCCCCCCCCCAUCCCACGCCUUCGUCUGCUUCGCCCCCCCAGUGUGACAGGACGGGGUCUGUGGCUGGCGCUGUAAUGGCUGACGGACCGGCUGGCUGCUUGUCGGUGCUGGUUACCUUCUGCCCCCAAUGGAUGGGCUUAGAUCACCCAGUUGUUGGAUUACCUCCCCUCCCCCCUUCCUACUCGCUGCAAGUCAUGUUUAAGAUGUAUGUGCUUAUGUGCUAAGGUGUUUUUUUCCUGCUCCCACACUGUACCCCUCUCGGGGCAUAGUCGGGGGGUUGUUUUUUCUCGCCUCUCUUCCCUCAUGUUAUGCUGUAAUCUUUCAUCCACCCUUUCUUUGCAAUUUCGUUGCUUUUGUACCUGUACUCUAGUCAAUGACAAUAAAACCGAAUACCAUACCAUACCAUA